This 253-nucleotide ribosomal RNA is filed under the name uncultured bacterium. Its description in RNAcentral is "partial 16S ribosomal RNA". It matches the Rfam family "Bacterial small subunit ribosomal RNA", at positions 524 to 776 of the family's 1533-position model. The record is from RNAcentral.
UACGUAGGAGGCAAGCGUUAUUCGGAAUUAUUGGGCGUAAAGGGCGCGUAGGCGGCUUUUCAAGUGACGGGUGAAAUCCCUCGGCUUAACCGAGGAACUGCCUGUCAGACUGGAAGGCUUGAGACCGGGAGAGGUGAGUGGAAUUCCCAGUGUAGCGGUGAAAUGCGUAGAGAUCGGCAGGAACACCCAGGGGGAAACCAGUGGACUGGCACGGUGCUGACACUCAUGUGCGAAAGCGUGGGGAGCGAACCGG